RNAcentral lists this ribosomal RNA (502 nucleotides) under uncultured bacterium. Its description in RNAcentral is "partial 16S ribosomal RNA". It matches the Rfam family "Bacterial small subunit ribosomal RNA", at positions 355 to 846 of the family's 1533-position model. The record is from RNAcentral.
UGGGGAAUUUUGGACAAUGGGCGAAAGCCUGAUCCAGCAAUGCCGCGUGUGUGAAGAAGGCCUUCGGGUUGUAAAGCACUUUUGUCCGGAAAGAAAUCCUUGGCUCUAAUACAGUCGGGGGAUGACGGUACCGGAAGAAUAAGCACCGGCUAACUACGUGCCAGCAGCCGCGGUAAUACGUAGGGUGCAAGCGUUAAUCGGAAUUACUGGGCGUAAAGCGUGCGCAGGCGGUUUGCUAAGACCGAUNUGAAAUCCCCGGGCUCAACCUGGGAACUGCAUUGGUGACUGGCAGGCUAGAGUAUGGCAGAGGGGGGUAGAAUUCCACGUGUAGCAGUGAAAUGCGUAGAGAUGUGGAGGAAUACCGAUGGCGAAGGCAGCCCCCUGGGCCAAUACUGACGCUCAUGCACGAAAGCGUGGGGAGCAAAACAGGAUUAGAUACCCCUGGUAGUCCCACGCCCUAAAACGAUGUCAACUAGUUGUUGGGGAUUCAUUUCCUUAGUAA